GGAGGAGGAGGAGAGAUGCGAGCCGUUGCACCUUCAGGGAGACAAAGCCGUUUUCCACCGCAGCCAAGAGACCUUGACAGGGAUGGUUGAGUUCUUAACUCUUUGGGGGCCUCUGGCUAGACCUUAAAUUUCCUGGUGCAACUUGACAGAGGUUUACCAGCACAGCGGCUGGGCCGAUAACUACAACACACACAAAAGUAUGAAAUAGGGAGAGUUCACGCAGCUGGACAACGCAAUGCCACAGCUAAUGAGGAGGGCUGCUCUGAGCCCCUGGGAAGGUGAAG
This is a long non-coding RNA of Acomys russatus (golden spiny mouse), 284 nucleotides long. RefSeq lists it as uncharacterized. Lineage: Eukaryota; Metazoa; Chordata; Mammalia; Rodentia; Muridae. The record is from RefSeq and is a predicted model, not a curated record. The transcript is spliced from 3 exons.